RNAcentral lists this non-coding RNA (26 nucleotides) under Mus musculus (house mouse). Lineage: Eukaryota; Metazoa; Chordata; Mammalia; Rodentia; Muridae. The record is from RNAcentral.
UGACCACUGCCACUGGAUUUUCUUGG